AGCUUCGGCCAUCCGGCGAGGGAUGGGCCCGCGGUGCAUUAGCUAGUUGGUGGGGUAACGGCCCACCAAGGCGACGAUGCAUAGCUGGUCUGAGAGGAUGAUCAGCCACACUGGGACUGAGACACGGCCCAGACUCCUACGGGAGGCAGCAGCCAGGAAUCUUGGGCAAUGGGCGCAAGCCUGGCCCAGCAACACCGUGUGGGCGAUGAAGGCCUUCGGGUCGUAAAGCCCUGUUGAUAGGGACGAAGGGCGAAGGGUUAAUAGCCC
RNAcentral lists this ribosomal RNA (267 nucleotides) under uncultured Rubrobacter sp. Its description in RNAcentral is "partial 16S ribosomal RNA". It matches the Rfam family "Bacterial small subunit ribosomal RNA", at positions 202 to 468 of the family's 1533-position model. Lineage: Bacteria; Bacillati; Actinomycetota; Rubrobacteria; Rubrobacterales; Rubrobacteraceae. The record is from RNAcentral.